Small RNA from Cyclobacterium marinum DSM 745, 47 nucleotides. It matches the Rfam family "Acido-Lenti-1 RNA". The record is from Rfam. NCBI's taxonomy places the organism in Bacteria, Pseudomonadati, Bacteroidota, Cytophagia, Cytophagales, Cyclobacteriaceae.
CCGAGGGUUGGCACCCUCGGCUGUUAUAGUGUCACCCUUUCAGGGUU